RNAcentral lists this non-coding RNA (88 nucleotides) under Candidatus Kentrum sp. DK. The record is from RNAcentral. Lineage: Bacteria; Pseudomonadati; Pseudomonadota; Gammaproteobacteria.
CUUUAUGGCGGGCCGUACGGGCAGCCUUCGGGCUGGCCGGUUUUCUCUUUUUAGCCGGUAUUGCUCCCCCGUACAGCCUGCCACCUUU